Molecule: long non-coding RNA, 360 nt
Organism: Peromyscus eremicus (cactus mouse)
Lineage: Eukaryota; Metazoa; Chordata; Mammalia; Rodentia; Cricetidae
Exons: 3
Source: RefSeq, a predicted model, not a curated record
UUUCUGGCCCUCUCCGAGGAGUCCCAUCCAGGACACUGCCCUGUAUUGUCUGAUCAAGCAUUUCUCACAGCUUGCCAGUGCUCGACUGUUGGAUCCUACCCAGUACCCUGUGACCCGGUGACUGGCCAGUGUGAGUGCCUGCCUGGAGUGACAGGAAGGCAGUGUGACAGGUGUCUCUCAGGAGCCUACGACUUCCCCUCCUGCCGAGGAUCCAGCAGUAUUUGUGACCCAGCUGGGACCGUUGACUCCAGCUUGGGUUAUUGCCAGUGCAAGCUCCAUGUCACAAGUCCUACGUGUAGUGUCUGCAAACCUUUAUAUUGGAAUCUGGCCAAAGAAAACCCCAGUGGAUGCUCAGGUGCG